Molecule: ribosomal RNA, 485 nt
Filed under: uncultured Lactonifactor sp.
Lineage: Bacteria; Bacillati; Bacillota; Clostridia; Eubacteriales; Clostridiaceae
Description: bacterial SSU rRNA
Rfam family: Bacterial small subunit ribosomal RNA
Source: RNAcentral
GAAUUGACGGGGACCCGCACAAGCGGUGGAGCAUGUGGUUUAAUUCGAAGCAACGCGAAGAACCUUACCAGGCCUUGACAUCCCAUUGACAGGUCCUUAACCGGACCGUUCCUUCGGGACAAUGGAGACAGGUGGUGCAUGGUUGUCGUCAGCUCGUGUCGUGAGAUGUUGGGUUAAGUCCCGCAACGAGCGCAACCCUUAUCCUUAGUAGCCAGCACGAGAGGUGGGGACUCUAGGGAGACUGCCAGGGACAACCUGGAGGAAGGCGGGGAUGACGUCAAAUCAUCAUGCCCCUUAUGGACUGGGCUACACACGUGCUACAAUGGCGGCGACAAAGGGGAGCGACCCUGUGAAGGUGAGCGAAUCCCAAAAAAGCUGUCCCAGUUCGGAUUGUAGUCUGCAACUCGACUACAUGAAGCCGGAAUCGCUAGUAAUCGCGAAUCAGCAUGUCGCGGUGAAUACGUUCCCGGGUCUUGUACACACCG